This 481-nucleotide ribosomal RNA is filed under the name uncultured bacterium. RNAcentral describes it as "bacterial SSU rRNA". It matches the Rfam family "Bacterial small subunit ribosomal RNA", at positions 28 to 518 of the family's 1533-position model. The record is from RNAcentral.
GACGAACGCUGGCGGCGCGCCUAACACAUGCAAGUCGAACGGAACCUAUUGAGAGCUUGCUCUCGGCAGGUUUAGUGGCGGACGGGUGAGUAACACGUGAGCAACCUGCCCUUCAGUGGGGGAUAACGUCUGGAAACGGACGCUAAUACCGCAUAACAUCCCGGGAUGGCAUCAUUUUGGGAUCAAAGGAUUUAUUCGCUGAAGGAUGGGCUCGCGCCCGAUUAGAUAGUUGGCGAGGUAACGGCUCACCAAGUCUGUGAUCGGUAGCCGGACUGAGAGGUUGAUCGGCCACAUUGGGACUGAGACACGGCCCAGACUCCUACGGGAGGCAGCAGUGGGGAAUAUUGCACAAUGGGGGAAACCCUGAUGCAGCGACGCCGCGUGAGUGAAGACGGUCUUCGGAUUGUAAAGCUCUGUGAUGGGGGACGAUAAUGACGGUACCCCAUCAGAAAGCCACGGCUAACUACGUGCCAGCAGCCGC